UACCUUCGGUAGGUGAGGUUACCACAGGGAUUAGGAUAUUUCCUGAGAUUGCUGCCGCGAGUUUGUGGAGACACAGGCGAGAUGGUUAGCAGGCUAUGUCGAAGACUAAGGCAUAACCUAACGCAAUUUUAUGCCCUGUGAUACUAAAGCUUGAACGAUA
This 160-nucleotide small RNA is filed under the name Mediterraneibacter butyricigenes. RNAcentral describes it as "M-box riboswitch (ykoK leader)". It matches the Rfam family "M-box riboswitch aptamer (ykoK leader)", at positions 11 to 159 of the family's 169-position model. From Rfam's summary of the family: M-box riboswitch, also know as ykoK leader is described as a metaloregulatory RNA that sense divalent metals and function as a genetic control element of genes related to divalent metal transport in bacteria. It was first reported upstream of the B.subtilis ykoK gene and genes with related functions in other bacteria. Phylogenetic analysis of the distribution of M-box RNAs across bacterial genomes revealed that M-box riboswitches are most often employed for the regulation of Mg2+ transporter genes Lineage: Bacteria; Bacillati; Bacillota; Clostridia; Lachnospirales; Lachnospiraceae. The record is from RNAcentral.